RNAcentral lists this ribosomal RNA (433 nucleotides) under uncultured bacterium. RNAcentral describes it as "partial 16S ribosomal RNA". It matches the Rfam family "Bacterial small subunit ribosomal RNA", at positions 29 to 507 of the family's 1533-position model. The record is from RNAcentral.
AACGAACGCUGGCGGCAUGCCUAACACAUGCAAGUCGAACGAGACCUUCGGGUCUAGUGGCGCACGGGUGCGUAACGCGUGGGAACCUGCCCUUAGGUUCGGAAUAACUCCCCGAAAGGGGUGCUAAUACCGGAUAAUGUCUUCGGACCAAAGAUUUAUCGCCUUUGGAUGGGCCCGCGUUGGAUUAGCUAGUUGGCAGGGUAAAAGCCUACCAAGGCGACGAUCCAUAGCUGGUCUGAGAGGAUGAUCAGCCACACUGGGACUGAGACACGGCCCAGACUCCUACGGGAGGCAGCAGUGGGGAAUAUUGGACAAUGGGCGAAAGCCUGAUCCAGCAAUGCCGCGUGAGUGAUGAAGGCCUUAGGGUUGUAAAGCUCUUUUACCCGGGAUGAUAAUGACAGUACCGGGAGAAUAAGCACCGGCUAACUCCGUG